Salvia splendens (bonfire salvia) is the source of this 1993-nucleotide long non-coding RNA. RefSeq lists it as uncharacterized. The transcript is spliced from 3 exons. The record is from RefSeq and is a predicted model, not a curated record. Lineage: Eukaryota; Viridiplantae; Streptophyta; Magnoliopsida; Lamiales; Lamiaceae.
AGAAAACUACGUAUUUGUAUUCUGUAUACACAAACUCUAGCAAAAAUGGCUAAUCUCGAGUUGAAGGCGAAUCGGAACGAUCUACUCCCUUUCGUUGUCGCCCUUCUCAUCGCCGCCCACGUCAUCGCAUUUGUUUACUGGUUUUACAAAUUAGCUACGGAUAGGGCAUCGAAGAAAACGAAGAAGCACUAGCGGCUACAAAGGAGAAUUGGCGAAGGAAGUGAACAUUAUAUGUUUUCGUCAUUUACGUUUCUCGUCUUUGAUUAAUUUUCUGACAAUUGUUCCAUUUUUGAUUGAAAUAUUGCUCUAUUACUUAGUCUCAUCUAUGAAUUGGUUGUUCAAAGUCGUUAAAAAAUAUCUAUGUGAAAUGAUUCCGAUUUGAGUAGUGCAUUUCCUUCGAUUUCGAUCCUACAGUCAAGCAAUAAAUAGGUUCUGUUACAGUGUGAUAUGCUACUUCACUCAGUCAAUACAACAAACAGUUUGUGGGCUCGGUCUCAGAGGCCUAUACUCGCCUCUUUCUGUUUGCGUUUAUGCGUAUCAUCGGCUGGUGUUUAAGGGGGGUCACAUAUAGAUGAGGGUUGCUAUGAUUUCUUCUGUACUUUCAAUAUGAAAGCAGCUUACGGUAGAGCAUUGGGUGCUGCUAAGGAUAUACAAUGCUGUGGAUAUACAAAUUGGGUAUUGCUUGUUCUAGAUUCUGUAUAGUGUGCACCUCGCUCCGGAUAAUCUUCCUCUGGGAAUAGCUUGUUUGCUGGGAGAUGAAGUUGGUGAAGUUGCUUUACUCAUUCUGCAUGAGAAAAGGCUGGGGAAGAAGUCUGAGUGGGCGCCUUACAUCAGCCGCCUUCCUCCUCUGCCAAAGGAUAUGCAUAGCUUGGUGUUCUGGAGUGAUGAGGAAAUGGAUAUGGUUCGACAGAGUGCUCUGUAUAAAGAAACUCUCAAACAGAAGAAUCGGAUGGAAUAAGUUUUUUUUGGCUGUUAAGUUGGUUUUUGAUAACUUCCCCGAAUAUUUCAUAAUGCUACGCUACUGGAUUUCACAUAUGCAUAUGGAUUAGUUACUACUCGAGCAUGGGUGAGCUCAAGGGGCGUUUCCAUGAUUCCCUUUGCGGAUUUCUUGAAUCAUGACGACACUUCAGAGGCGUAUGUUUUGAGUAAUGAAGGCAAGACAACAUUCAGUGGCUAUAGCUGGCUGUGGAUUUGCUCCUGGUGAUGAGGUCCUGAUAAUGGAAAGUUUUCGAAUGCCACACUCAUUCUGGAUUUCGGUUCUGCUGUUUCUUGCUAUUGUUAUGAUCAAGUUCAUGUUGAGCUUAGUGCACCUCAACAUGAUGCUCUCUAUACGGAGAAGUUGGAUAUAUUCUUGGCAGAGAUCGCACACACCAAGGAUCAAGGAUGACAACGAGUUUGCUUACUAUGACAACAAGUCUGCUUCGGCGUGGUUGGAGAGCUACUGUUCGACGUUAUGAAAGAGACAUUUUGCGUUCUACAAUACAAGUUACUACUCUGCUACAACUGUCACUGACCUGCAUCGGCUACUUCUACUACAGUUGCAACAACUGCCAUACAGCUGCUACUUUGCUACAGCUGAUACUAACUACCAUGCAUCUGCUACUCUGCUACAGUUACUACUAUUGCUCUGCAUCUGCUACAGUUACUACUAUUGCUCUGCAUCUGCUACUUCUGCUACUACUGCCCUAUAGCUACUACUCUGCUACAGCUACUACUACUCUGCCUUGCAGCUCUACUUAUGCAACAGCUGCAACUACUACUGUCCUAUAGUUUUGGCUACUACUAUUGCUGCCGAUGUUUGAGGAAAAACAUUUUUGAGAACUUUGUACCAAUCUGGAUAAUAUAGAUGUUCCAGCUUGAGGGGGAGUGUUAAGAAUAUUAGUAUUUUGUCCCACAUCGGUGAUGUGAUAUAGCCUAGCUUAGUGUUUUGUACUAUUAUAUAUGGCCUAUGUUGAGUAAUAAAAUACACCAAAUACAACUACUUUUUCCACUA